CCUACGGGAGGCAGCAGUGGGGAAUAUUGGUCAAUGGGCGCAAGCCUGACCCAGCAACGCCGCGUGAAGGAAGAAGGCUUUCGGGUUGUAAACUUCUUUUUUCAGGGACGAAGCAAGUGACGGUACCUGAGGAAUAAACCACGGCUAACUACGUGCCAGCAGCCGCGGUAAUACGGAGGUGGCAAGCGUUAUCCGGAUUUACUGGGUGUAAAGGGCGUGUAGGCGGAGAGGCAAGUCAGAUGUGAAAACCACGGGCUCAACCUGUGGCCUGCAUUUGAAACUGUGUUUCUUGAGUACUGGGGAGGCAGACGGAAUUCGUGGUGUAGCGGUGAAAUGCGUAGAUAUUAGGAGGAACCCCAGUGGCGAAGGCGGUCUGCUGGACAGCAACUGACGCUGAGGCGCGAAAGCGUGGGGAGCAAACAGGAUUAGAUACCCGAGUAGUC
This 443-nucleotide ribosomal RNA is filed under the name uncultured bacterium. RNAcentral describes it as "partial 16S ribosomal RNA". It matches the Rfam family "Bacterial small subunit ribosomal RNA", at positions 338 to 795 of the family's 1533-position model. The record is from RNAcentral.